UAGGGAAUCUUCGGCAAUGGGGGGAACCCUGACCGAGCAACGCCGCGUGAGUGAAGAAGGUUUUCGGAUCGUAAAGCUCUGUUGUUAAGGAAGAACGAGUGUGAGAAUGGAAAGUUCAUGCUGUGACGGUACUUAACCAGAAAGGGACGGCUAACUACGUGCCAGCAGCCGCGGUAAUACGUAGGUCCCGAGCGUUGUCCGGAUUUAUUGGGCGUAAAGCGAGCGCAGGCGGUUAGAAAAGUCUGAAGUGAAAGGCAGUGGCUCAACCAUUGUAGGCUUUGGAAACUGUUUAACUUGAGUGCAGAAGGGGAGGGUGGAAUUCCAUGUGUAGCGGUGAAAUACAUAACUAUAUGGAGGAACACCGGUGGCGAAAGCGUCUCUCUGGUCUGUAACUGACGCAGAGGCUCGAAAGCGUGGGGAGCGAACAGG
Molecule: ribosomal RNA, 429 nt
Filed under: Bacteroidota bacterium
Lineage: Bacteria; Pseudomonadati; Bacteroidota
Description: Bacteroidetes bacterium partial 16S ribosomal RNA
Rfam family: Bacterial small subunit ribosomal RNA
Source: RNAcentral